RNAcentral lists this ribosomal RNA (253 nucleotides) under uncultured bacterium. Its description in RNAcentral is "partial 16S ribosomal RNA". It matches the Rfam family "Bacterial small subunit ribosomal RNA", at positions 524 to 776 of the family's 1533-position model. The record is from RNAcentral.
UACGGAGGGGGCUAGCGUUGUUCGGAAUGACUGGGCGUAAAGCGCGCGUAGGCGGGCUGGGAAGUCAGGGGUGAAAUCCCGGGGCUCAACCUCGGAAUUGCCUUUGAAACUCCCAGUCUUGAGUUCGAGAGAGGUGGGUGGAAUUCCGAGUGUAGAGGUGAAAUUCGUAGAUAUUCGGAGGAACACCGGUGGCGAAGGCGGCUCACUGGCUCGACACUGACGCUGAGGUGCGAAAGCGUGGGGAGCAAACAGG